This 962-nucleotide ribosomal RNA is filed under the name Trichoderma amazonicum. RNAcentral's name for it is "LSU rRNA". It matches the Rfam family "Eukaryotic large subunit ribosomal RNA", at positions 1 to 961 of the family's 3401-position model. Lineage: Eukaryota; Fungi; Ascomycota; Sordariomycetes; Hypocreales; Hypocreaceae. The record is from RNAcentral.
CAGCCCGUUAAACACCCAACUUUCUGAAAUGUUGACCUCGGAUCAGGUAGGAAUACCCGCUGAACUUAAGCAUAUCAAUAAGCGGAGGAAAAGAAACCAACAGGGAUUGCCCCAGUAACGGCGAGUGAAGCGGCAACAGCUCAAAUUUGAAAUCUGGCCCCUAGGGUCCGAGUUGUAAUUUGUAGAGGAUGCUUUUGGUGAGGUGCCGCCCGAGUUCCCUGGAACGGGACGCCACAGAGGGUGAGAGCCCCGUCUGGCUGGCCGCCGAGCCUCUGUAAAGCUCCUUCGACGAGUCGAGUAGUUUGGGAAUGCUGCUCAAAAUGGGAGGUAUAUGUCUUCUAAAGCUAAAUAUUGGCCAGAGACCGAUAGCGCACAAGUAGAGUGAUCGAAAGAUGAAAAGCACCUUGAAAAGAGGGUUAAAUAGUACGUGAAAUUGUUGAAAGGGAAGCGCUUGUGACCAGACUUGGGCGCGGCGGAUCAUCCGGGGUUCUCUCCGGUGCACUUCGCCGCGUCUAGGCCAGCAUCAGUUCGUCGCGGGGGAAAAAGGCUUCGGGAACGUGGCUCCUCCGGGAGUGUUAUAGCCCGUUGCAUAAUACCCUGCGGUGGACUGAGGACCGCGCAUCUGCAAGGAUGCUGGCGUAAUGGUCACCAGCGACCCGUCUUGAAACACGGACCAAGGAGUCGUCUUCGUAUGCGAGUGUUCGGGUGUCAAACCCCUACGCGUAAUGAAAGUGAACGCAGGUGAGAGCUUCGGCGCAUCAUCGACCGAUCCUGAUGUUCUCGGAUGGAUUUGAGUAAGAGCAUACGGGGCCGGACCCGAAAGAAGGUGAACUAUGCCUGUAUAGGGUGAAGCCAGAGGAAACUCUGGUGGAGGCUCGCAGCGGUUCUGACGUGCAAAUCGAUCGUCAAAUAUGGGCAUGGGGGCGAAAGACUAAUCGAACCUUCUAGUAGCUGGUUUCCGC